CCUACGGGAGGCCGCAGUGAGGAAUAUUGGUCAAUGGGCGAGAGCCUGAACCAGCCAAGUCGCGUGAGGGAAGACGGUCCUAUGGAUUGUAAACCUCUUUUGCCGGGGAGCAAAAAGCGGUACGUGUACCGCAUCGAGAGUACCCGGAGAAAAAGCAUCGGCUAACUCCGUGCCAGCAGCCGCGGUAAUACGGAGGAUGCGGGGGUUAACCGGAUUUAUUGGUGUAAAAGGGUUCACAGGCGGCGAGUUAAGUCAGCGGUAAAAUGUCGGGGCUCAACCCCGACAAGCCGUGGAAACUGGCUUGCUAGAGUGGGCGAGAAGGAUGCGGAAUGCGUGGUGUAGCGGUGAAAUGCAUAGAUAGCACGCAGAACUCCGAUUGCGAAGGCAGCAUACCGGCGCCCAACUGACGCUCAGGCACGAAAGCGUGGGUAUCGAACAGGAUUAGAUACCCGAGUAGUC
Molecule: ribosomal RNA, 459 nt
Filed under: uncultured bacterium
Lineage: Bacteria
Description: partial 16S ribosomal RNA
Rfam family: Bacterial small subunit ribosomal RNA
Source: RNAcentral